UUUAAAACCAUGACAGGAAAUAGUACCAAAAUUACUUUCUAAAAGAGAGCCGGUGGCUGGUGUGAACCGGUGAAAGGAUUUUGGGGAUCCAUCCUCGAGUAAAGUAAGGAACCCCCAUGCGGGUCAGUAAUUACUUUCGGCAUUAGCCGUUAUCUAACUGAGUGAAAGGCAGGAAUCUGCUUUUAACUAGGGUGGCAACGCGGGUUAACUCUCGUCCCUUUU
This 222-nucleotide non-coding RNA is filed under the name Bacillus sp. (in: firmicutes). RNAcentral describes it as "Bacillus sp. T-box sequence". It matches the Rfam family "T-box leader". Rfam says of the family: Uncharged tRNA acts as the effector for transcription antitermination of genes in the T-box leader family. T-boxes are found upstream of many aminoacyl-tRNA synthetase genes and some amino acid biosynthetic genes usually in Gram-positive bacteria. The anticodon of a specific tRNA base pairs to a specifier sequence within the T-box motif, and the NCCA acceptor tail of the tRNA base pairs to a conserved bulge in the T-box antiterminator hairpin. The record is from RNAcentral. Lineage: Bacteria; Bacillati; Bacillota; Bacilli; Caryophanales; Bacillaceae.